UGUAUUUGUGUCGUCAUUACAGAUUGGAUUUUGUAUGUAGUGAUGAGAAGUGCGACUGUGUGCACGUUUCCCCCCGCAAAAAAUGGCAGAACGAUUUGUACGGUAAGAUAUCGCUUGGGCUCCUCCCUUCCGACGUGUCGGAAGCCGGUGUUGCUCGAAGGGU
Cydia strobilella is the source of this 163-nucleotide long non-coding RNA. RefSeq lists it as uncharacterized. The transcript is spliced from 2 exons. NCBI's taxonomy places the organism in Eukaryota, Metazoa, Arthropoda, Insecta, Lepidoptera, Tortricidae. The record is from RefSeq and is a predicted model, not a curated record.